This 546-nucleotide ribosomal RNA is filed under the name uncultured Tomentella. Its description in RNAcentral is "eukaryotic LSU rRNA". The record is from RNAcentral. Lineage: Eukaryota; Fungi; Basidiomycota; Agaricomycetes; Thelephorales; Thelephoraceae.
GGGGGCAUGUGCACACUCUGUUUGCAUAUCCACUCACACCUGUGCACCCUCCAUAGUUCUGCAGCCCUGGGGGGCUCUGUCCCCUGCUGUGGUCCUAUGUAUUUACACACACACACUGUGAUAAAGUCUCAUGGAAUGUAUGCCGCGUUUAACGCAAUACAAUACAACUUUCAGCAACGGAUCUCUUGGCUCUCGCAUCGAUGAAGAACGCAGCGAAAUGCGAUAAGUAAUGUGAAUUGCAGAAUUCAGUGAAUCAUCGAAUCUUUGAACGCACCUUGCGCCCUUUGGCUAUUCCGAAGGCAUGCCUGUUUGAGUAUCAUGAACACCUCAACUCUUCGUGGCUUGCCAUGAUGAGCUUGGACGAUGGGGGUCUUGCUGGCCUGUGGUCAGCUCCUCUCAAAUAAAUCAGCUUGCCAGUGUUUGGUGGCRUCACAGGUGUGAUAACUAUCUACGCUUGUGGUUUUCCGCUAGGUAACCUUUGGCAACAGAGGUUCGCUGGGGCUUAUAAACGUCUCUCCUCGGUGAGGGACAGCUCUUUGAACGUUU